AGUCUGACAGAAACAUCUUUGGCUACCUGAUCAGAAGAGCACAAAUGCAUGAAGAUCAUCCAUGGGGAGCAACAGCUACACCCGAAGUUCAUCCAGCUCAUCCUGUGAGAAGUCAAAACAGUGCUCCAUCAUACCUCUAAAUCUCACCCAUGGGAGCAAAAUAGGAAACAUGCUCGCUAGGAUACCAUAUUAAUGGAGUGAUACAGAUUGCAACAUGCAGCUCCAGAAGUCACAGGAACAGAAGUUUUAACCCAACAUUGACUAAUUAAACUGAACUAAAUCAA
This is a long non-coding RNA of Pseudopipra pipra, 284 nucleotides long. RefSeq lists it as uncharacterized. The record is from RefSeq and is a predicted model, not a curated record. The transcript is spliced from 2 exons. Lineage: Eukaryota; Metazoa; Chordata; Aves; Passeriformes; Pipridae.